This 72-nucleotide transfer RNA is filed under the name Bacillus cereus. Its description in RNAcentral is "tRNA-Glu". It matches the Rfam family "tRNA". Rfam says of the family: Transfer RNA (tRNA) molecules are approximately 80 nucleotides in length. Their secondary structure includes four short double-helical elements and three loops (D, anti-codon, and T loops). RNAcentral also lists the same sequence under 1 other name. Lineage: Bacteria; Bacillati; Bacillota; Bacilli; Caryophanales; Bacillaceae. The record is from RNAcentral.
GGCCCGUUGGUCAAGUGGUUAAGACACCGCCCUUUCACGGCGGUAACAAGGGUUCGAAUCCCGUACGGGUCA